RNAcentral lists this ribosomal RNA (443 nucleotides) under uncultured bacterium. RNAcentral describes it as "partial 16S ribosomal RNA". It matches the Rfam family "Bacterial small subunit ribosomal RNA", at positions 338 to 795 of the family's 1533-position model. The record is from RNAcentral.
CCUACGGGAGGCAGCAGUGGGGGAUAUUGGACAAUGGGGGAAACCCUGCUCCAGCGACGCCGCGUGAGUGAAGAAGUAUUUCGGUAUGUAAAGCUCUAUCAGUAGGGAAGAAAGAAAUGACGGUACCUGAGUAAGAAGCCCCGGCUAACUACGUGCCAGCAGCCGCGGUAAUACGUAGGGGGCAAGCGUUAUACGGAAUUACUGGGUGUAAAGGGAGCGUAGACGGUAAUGCAAGUCUGGAGUGAAAGGCGGGGGCCCAACCCCCGGACUGCUCUGGAAACUGUGUAACUGGAGUGCAGGAGAGGCAGGCGGAAUUCCGAGUGUAGCGGUGAAAUGCGUAGAGAUGAGGAGGAACACCAGUGGCGAAGGCGGCCUGCUGGACUGUAACUGACGUUGAGGCUCGAAAGCGUGGGGAGCAAACAGGAUUAGAUACCCGAGUAGUC